This 3861-nucleotide unclassified non-coding RNA is filed under the name Lytechinus variegatus (green sea urchin). RNAcentral describes it as "testis-expressed protein 11-like, transcript variant X2". The record is from RNAcentral. Lineage: Eukaryota; Metazoa; Echinodermata; Echinoidea; Temnopleuroida; Toxopneustidae.
CAGUUCAGUGAGAGCGAGCUGAGAGGCCUAGCUCCGCGGCAUAUCGCGGCAAGCUCGCGAUAGCGAUCGAGCUUGCCGCGCCGUUGCACGCGCAGCUUAGCAGCGCGCGCAGCAGUAGAGUAGGCCGGCGGCCAGACACUGAACUCGCAAACCAAACUAUCCUGGUACUAGGCCUCGAUCUACAUGUAGAAUAUAUUACAUACGGUACCGGGAACUGCAAGCAUGGUGAUGGGAUCGACAGAUGCGGUCCAUGAAUUAGAAAGUCUAGUUGAUGUACUUUGUAAAGAAGAUGAAGAAGAAAGGUGUGAGGGAAUUGCUGACCAGCUAAUGGAAUUGUCUCAUUCUCUUCAUAAACUGGGUUGUGAAGUCCUUCAUCAGCUUGUCAAGGAAAGAGGAGCUCAGAUUGAGCAGUGUGCUGUUAUGUUAUGGAAUGUAGCUGUAUCCAAGAACACUGGAAAUGCUAUUGGAGAUGUCCUCAAUGCUAAAAUACGCCAUCUAGCCAGUAACCUUGCAUUUACCAGUGGACUAUCAGCGAAGAACUUCACAGUACAGAAACGCCAUGUGAUGAUGGCAAGUAAAGCAGCAAGUGCUUGGAUAGAUUGCUGUCAGUUUUCAAUGGCGGAGCAAUGCCUUAGCCUUGCAUUAGAGGGUCUUGAGAAACUGAGGAACCAAGUCCAAGCUCCAAUCAACUCUCUUCCUGAGAAGAAAGAUUGGGCAGAUGAAAAGAAAAAAGAAGUCGAUAGAGAAGCAUUCAAGAUAUUUUGCUUCAAAGCAAAAGCAGCUGUUGGCCAGAAGCAGCAUACACAUGGCCUACAAUGGGUUGAGAGAGCUAGACCACUUCUUAAUACACUUAUCACAGAGGUGUCUGUGCUUGCAAGAAUGUGCUACAACUUUGGUGUGGAUGCUGUCAAGAGUAAAUUACCACAACAUGCUGUAGAAUGGUUAAGGACAAGCUUUGAGCUGGGGAAAGAAUGCCAUGAUUUUGACAACAAGUUACAGGCAAAAAGCCUACGUCUUCUGGCCGCUGCCUACUUAGAUUGGGAUGCUGUUGAGUACUGUCAGAAAGCACUGAAUGCUGUCAGUUUGGCUAAUGCGGAACACACUCACCCCUUCGGACUUCACCUCAAAGUCAAGAUUCUUUUGCUUGGAGACAGUGCUGACCACAAAAUAUUGCAAGCAGCGGUUGAGGAAGCUAUACUCCAUCAGAGUCUGUCUGUUGAUCUUGCUGUGGAAACUGUCAAAUUGUUAGCAAAGCAUGACAAAACUGAUAUUGCCCAGACAGCAUGCCGUCGGCUGACUAGUCGUUUCAUGGAAGCACCUGAUGUUGGCAAACUGCUUGUCCUUCAGCUGGAGCUCCUAACUAGAAACAACAAACAUCAACAAGCCAGGAACCUGGUGGAUGAAAUCAUUGCAGAUCACCGGAGCAAGCUCGAAAGCUCAGAACUAAGGCAUCUUCAUACUCUGAUUUGGGAACAAGCUGCUGCAGCUUUUGAGAAUAGCGAUUUCUCAGAAGCUAUCUUAUGGUACAACUUCUCCUUGAGUCUAUUAACAGAGAAUGCAGAGAUGGAAAAACCAAACAUCGCUAAACUGCAGCGCAACAGAGCAUCUUCUUACAUCAACCUGCGACAAUAUCAAAAGGCUGAAGAAGCUAUGAGAGAAGCUGAAAGAAAUGACCCUACCAACCUGUACACCUACUUCCUUUGGUUUAAAGUUGCUAUAUACAAGGAAGAUAACAAUGGUGCUGUAGCAGCUCUGCAAAAGUUGGGAUCUGUUGCAUCGGUGGAGGCUGGCUCUUGUAAUGAGGAGAACAUAGAGGAAAUCCACAGUCUCAUCUCUUUGGCAGCACAACUAGCAUUUGAGUGGAGUAAUCGCAAGGUUGCCAUAUCUGCUCUGGAGAGCCUCGUUAAGUGUUCUUCUGAUAUACAACAGAUCCUUACAUGUUACAGAUGCCUUACAAGAUUGAGAUUAACAAUAUCUGGAGAGAAGUUAGAUCCAAUAAUGGAAGCAGAUGGAGUAGCUUCAUACUUAGAGUCAGUUUUAGUUGAGCUGAAUAGCAUUGCUGUGAGAGAACCAAAGUCACCCAGUGAGACAGAUGUACUUAAGAAUGAAGCAGCUUGGUUUAUGAAAGUUGCAUGGAAUAUGGCAAUAGAGCAUUCCACAUUGAGCAGACUAGCACAUCUUUUCUUUGUCAAGUGUAGUAAGUUUUGUGAGCUAUUGUCUAAUGAUUCAAGUAAUCUUGGAAGGCAGAAGACUUGUCUUAUUAUGGCUGCUGCUGCUAGUCUUCAGAUGGCUAGAGAGGCUCAGGACAACAAUGAUAAGUGUGCUGCUUUCAAGAAAGUUUUGGAGCAUGUAUAUUCCUGCCAGAAUAUUUGCACUCAGCUGGACUCUGGAGUUAGUGGAAAGGGUGACAGGGCCCAUAUGAUGCUGCUCCUCUAUGAGUUUGAGGCCUUGGCUAAACUUGGAAGGGUCUCGGAACUAGAUCAAAUUUUGAAGAAAGUUCUGUCAUCAUCCGCCUAUGACGUCAAGACGAUCAAAACACUGGCAGAUCUUGCCAUGGAGCCUCCAGCCAAUCACAAACAGUUGAGUAAGAGACUCCUUCAUGCUGCUAUUAACAAACACAUGAGCUCAAAUGAUAUCGAUAUCAAAAUAUGCAGUAAAACCCUUCAAAAUGCUAUCAGACUGUGUUUAGGAGAGGGUCACAGUCCUGAUACAACAGGGAGAGAAGAGGCAUGGCAUCUCUAUCAAGUGGCAAUCAAGCUAUUGCAAUCAGAAAAGAAAGACUCUUAUCCAGAAGUAGACAUUGUUUGGUUGAUGACAAAAGCAUGGAACACAGGAAUAUAUUCCUUCAGCUCUGGUGAGUAUAGCAUUGCAGAUGUGUGGUGUUGUUUGGGAAUGGAACUGAUGUCAUAUCUCUCAGCUCUCAAGGCGAACUAUGAAGAAAAGAUGAACUCUUUGUUUGCAGAGAUUCAGACCAAGAUCAAGGAUUCAAAGCAUAAGGAUAGCUUAGAGGAAUGAAAUACACACAGCAGCCAACAUAACAGUAUUUAUCGUUUAGACUUCUUCUUGAUGAUACUCCUCAACGUCCCUAUUAGAGGAACCACCCGAGGAGGAAUUGAGAGUGCGCACUUUGUUUAUAAGACCUUGUUAUGUUAGUAAUUGCAGUUGGUCCCGCAACAGUUUUGCUACUGGUCAAGCAGGAAAGGGUUGCCAAGUAUUGUGAUGGCUUCUGCCAUGAUUGUUUGUGAAAAUUCUUGUCAUACUUUUAAUCACCCACUUGACAUGUUUAUGAUUUGACCCUUUAAAAUAAAAUUCUUUAAAAGUUGUAAAGGUUGCGUGCCGUGUUGACUUAUGGCAAUUAGUUUGUCAGGUCACUGAGAUAUUAUUACUAGUUUAAUUCUUAAUAAAAUAGGAAAUUUGUAAAAAUUACAUGGUAUUUUUUUUUAUUUCUGAACAUAUUGUGAUGUUCUCUUCGAUUAUAAAAUAUUAUAAUUUGUUUACAUGGUUGUGCAUAGAUUGGUUUCUGAGUAGCUUCUUUUAACAUAUGAAAAACAUAGAGCAAUUUUUUUUUUAAAUAGUUUUAUUUAGGAAUAUAUAUCCCGCAUUCUUUUAUUAGCAUUGCUAUUCUAUUAUUUUCAGUGUAAAAUUCAAUGAAUUUGUAUUAUUUCACCAUUCCAAAAUAUCAGUUUACUUUUAUCACAAUUCUACAUCAUUAAAUCAUUUUGGUUUGUGAUUUUGAGUAUUUUCUAUUUUAUAUGUGUUAUUAUUCUUUGUGAAUUAACAUAAAUCUGAACCUUGUUGUUAUUGUUACAUGUUUAAUUUUAAUUCAUUAAAGAUCAUUUUUUGAGCUCAAGUCAUUUGCUC